UUACACGCGGAAGUUUUCUUUUUCGUUAUUUUGACACUGAAAGUUGUAUUUGUCGUUGUUUCGCACGUACUGCCAUACAUUUUCUCAUCCUUAUCUUCUCUUCCUCAAAGCCAGUUGCUGCCUCCACCGACUCCAAUAUUUUUGCCCUCAACUCUGUUUUCCCUCAAAUUUUCAUUCUCACCUCCAUCGACACACCGUCGUCGACUUCACCUCUUUCUUCUUAUCCCAAAUUGCUCUCAAUUUCAUUUCCUUCCUGUAAAUUUGUGAGGCGGCGAUCCAUGAGGACUGCCUUUGAGGAGCAUAGUUGUUUCGAGUCGCUUCGUCGUAGAAAACAGUAUACCGGAGUUGCUUCAUCGGCGUUGAAGGCGACCGGUGUUGGCCAAGUCCUUCCGUGGAAGUGGUCGGCUAAAGAGGGCAUCCACUCACUCAUUGGUUGUGUCCAUCACACUUUCAUUUGGUUUAUUUUCAGUAUACAUCGAUUACAACAUCACCGUUAUAUGUCCCGCUAACCAGCUUCAGCAACAGCGGGGUUUAGGGCUUUUUAAGAGGAACCCGACUAAGUACAAACUCUUUCCAUCAGUUUCAGGUCGUCGGUAGAGUCCUACCCACAAAGUCAGAUGAGCAUCCUAAGAAGAUACACAUCGAUUGGUCUUUUUUUCUCCUUCUCCACCGUCCGCUGAAUCGAUGUGUUGUUCUGAUUUGAAGCUCACAAACCUUGGGACUGGACCAUGGACGGAAAAAGGUCUAGCAACACUGCUGGAAAGCCUAUCAGGUGCCGAUCUGCGAUUGCUAGGAAACCACAGGAACCGCUGGUGAUCGAGGAAGUGAUAGUGGCUGCACCAAAACCUCGCGAAGUUCGAAUCAAAAUCAUAUGCACUUCGCUUUGCCAUAGUGAUAUCAACUACUGGAAAUUGGAGGUAGAUUGUUGUUUGAGAUCAAAUUUUAAAUCAAUCGAGUGUUUUUGUUGAUGUUAAUUAACGAUUGUUGUUUUCUCCUAAAGCGUCCUCCUGCAAUUUUCCCCAGACAUCAAAAUUAGUAAACUGUUCAUGUUAACUUUGUUGAAUUUUCAUCCUAAUUACAUAAAUUCGUUCAAAUUUUCUCCAUUAAAGGGUUGUAGAGAGUAUCGGUGAAGGCGUACAUGAAGUUGUUGAAUGAGACACUGUGAUUCCAAUGUUUCUGCCAGAUUGUGGUGAAUGUGCAAAUUGUUUGUCCAAAAAAAGCAACCUGUGUUCAAAAUAUCCUUUCCAUUGUACUCCAUGGGUGGGUAGAAAUGAAACAAGCAUAUUCACAGACAUGAAUGGAGAAACUUUAUACCAUUUCUUGCAUGUAUCAACUUUUACUGAGUACACAGUGGUUGAAGUUGCUCGUGUAAUCAAAGUUGAUCCAGCAAUCCCAGCAAACAGAGCCUGCUUCUUUAGUUGUGUGGAAAUUGGAGCAACAGGUUUCAUCUUAAAUUAGGUUGAGUAGAUUUCCCAGAUGAAAUCACUGUUGGUGGAACCUCACCUCAUACACUAACCAGUUUGUUCUUCUUUAUAUCUAUCAACUAUUAUUGACUUUGAAACUCAAAAAUCCAACUGAUCAAUUGUGCAGGUUUACAAAGUAUAUACUAUUGGUGGAAUGUCUGUUUUGGAAGCGACAUAUGCUUCCCAUGACUUUGAAUUAGGUAUUACUCUCUCUAGCUCAUUUUGUGUUGUUCUUCGUUAUAGAUUAUGUACGUAGAGUUACUCUGAAGCUUAAAAUUUGUUAUUUGUUAUUGGAACAAAUCGUUUGACGCCUAUUUUUUGGCUUGAUGAGUAAAAUCAAGUAAGGACUCUGUGAGUAACAAGAGAAAAAUAGAAAGAAGAAAAAAUCAUAGUAAAUUUACUAGAUUCAUAUGCUUAAUGCUUUUCUAAGCUUAAUAAGAUGUUAGGAAAAAGAUAAUCUAUUGUCUUCUUCAUGUCCAUGGCAUAUGUUGUAGCCUCUUAUAUGUGUGUGGUUAAUGUUGAGGGGAUUGUGUUGUCAAACUAUAACUUAUGAUAAUCAAUAUUAAUUAGUUUUAUACAUUUUUUAAUAAUUUGUUUGCUUGGGUAAGUUUUGUAGGAGCUGUAAUUCAACUUCUACUUCAAUUUUCGAUGAAUGGCAAUGUAAGGAAUCAAAAUAUUUGCCUUUAAAGUUGUUAGAUUUUGCAGAUUGGUGAAACAUAUCUGAUAGGGUUUUCUUUCCCCAACUUCUUUUUUAUUUAUUAACAACCCGAUGAAAGUUGAUAGCUUAUUUUAUUUCCUUAUUUUUAUUAGUUUAUUUUAGAUUUUUAGCUCUUUUUAUUAGUAUUGCAUUAUAUAUUCUUUAUUUUCUUUAUCAUGGAUCGUAUCGGAGACUUGUUAUGUUGCAUGAGGAAUUUUGCAAGGUUUUGGAGCUUUUGUGAUUGUGGAUUAGAGUGAAGACGGCUUAGUGGGCUCCCGAGGCAUUUUUGGGCUUGGCGGAAUCAAAGAAGAAGAAUUGGGCUUUUAAAGUUGAUGGCUUGGAUUAUUUGGGCUUGUGAAGAUGGAUCAUAAAUUUCUAAUUUUGGGUUUGGAGCAUCCAUUUGGUAGCUAAAUGAUGAUUGGUGGAUUCAAAUUAUAUGGACCAGGGGGUACCAAAGGAAUCUUUGGUAGUGGAAGGGUGAAGUAGUGGAAUGGUGGACCAAUGGCAACACAACAUCGUUUGCGCGAGUGGAAUUUUCGUCGCACGGGUACCCGCACAACUGCCCAGUUUGGGCAUUUUGGUUAUUUGGCACACCAUAACCUUGGGGGAUCAGAUCUAUCAGCUACAUUGACGAUUUUUCACCAUUGGAGAUCUGCAAGAGGCGAUUUUGGGAGCUAGAAACCAUUUCCUUUCAUCUUUCCAAAUCUUAGGUAGUUUCUUUAUGCAAUUAGAUUAUUGUUCUUGUUACUUUGUUGCCAUGAGUGGUUAAUACUCUUAUUUGGUUGACUUUGGCUGAAAACCAAUGAAUGUUUGUGGGUUUUGAAGGAUUUAUGUUGAUUAUCC
Molecule: non-coding RNA, 3003 nt
Organism: Lactuca sativa (garden lettuce)
Lineage: Eukaryota; Viridiplantae; Streptophyta; Magnoliopsida; Asterales; Asteraceae
Source: RefSeq, a predicted model, not a curated record